This 286-nucleotide ribosomal RNA is filed under the name uncultured bacterium. Its description in RNAcentral is "partial 16S ribosomal RNA". It matches the Rfam family "Bacterial small subunit ribosomal RNA", at positions 29 to 289 of the family's 1533-position model. The record is from RNAcentral.
ACGAACGCUGGCGGCGUGCCUCAAACAUGCAAGUCGAGCGGGGUUCUGGAAGUGGGCGACCACGGAAGGGACCUAGCGGCGGACGGGUGAGUAACGCGUGGGUAAUCUGCCCAAGGGACCGGGAUAACACCGUCGAAAGGGGUGCUAAUACCGGGUGACCCUGGUGCUCCGAGUGGGGGACCAGGGAUAGGUGGCCUCUUGACAAUGCUACUGCCCCUUGGAUGAGCCCGCGUCCCAUUAGCUAGUUGGCGGGGUAAAGGCCCACCAAGGCGACGAUGGGUAGCCG